GAUGUGGUUGUAGCUGGCUCUCUUGAGAGUAAGUGCUCGCCCGUCAUCUUUNUCUUUCCACCUGUGCACUUCUUGUAGAUUUGGAUGUAACUGUCCGAGGCAACUCGGUUGGGAGGAAUGUCAUUCGUGGCUUUCCUUGUAUGUCCAAGUCUAUGUUUUCAUAUACUCCAAAGAAUGUAACAGAAUGUAUCACUAGGCCUUGUGCCUAUAAACUAAAACAACUUUCAGCAUCGAUGAAGAACGCAGCGAAAUGCGAUAAGUAAUGUGAAUUGCAGAAUUCAGUGAAUCAUCGAAUCUUUGAACGCACCUUGCGCCCCUUGGUAUUCCGAGGGGCAUGCCUGUUUGAGUGUCAUUAAAUUCUCAACCUUACUAGCUUUUGCUAUGUAAUGGCUUGGAUAUGGGGGUCUUUUGCUGGUUUCGAAAGGAAUCUGCUCCCCUUAAAUGCAUUAGCCGGUGCCCCGCGUGGACCGUCUAUUGGUGUGAUAAUUAUCUACGCCGUUAGACGUCUGCUUUAAAUGGGUUGUGCUGCUUCUAAUCGUCCUCUUAGGACAAUUAUUGACCAUUUGACCUCAAAUCAGGUAGGACUACCCGCUGAACUUA
RNAcentral lists this ribosomal RNA (600 nucleotides) under Gymnopilus sapineus. Its description in RNAcentral is "eukaryotic LSU rRNA". The stretch from base 210 to 352 matches the Rfam family "5.8S ribosomal RNA". Lineage: Eukaryota; Fungi; Basidiomycota; Agaricomycetes; Agaricales; Galerinaceae. The record is from RNAcentral.